UGGAUGGACCCGCGGUGCAUUAGCUAGUUGGUGAGGUAACGGCUCACCAAGGCCACGAUGCAUAGCCGACCUGAGAGGGUGAUCGGCCACACUGGGACUGAGACACGGCCCAGACUCCUACGGGAGGCAGCAGUAGGGAAUCUUCGGCAAUGGACGAAAGUCUGACCGAGCAACGCCGCGUGAGUGAAGAAGGUUUUCGGAUCGUAAAACUCUGUUGUUAGAGAAGAACAAGGAUGAGAGUAAAAUGUUCAUCCCUUGACGGUAUCUAACCAGAAAGCCACGGCUAACUACGUGCCAGCAGCCGCGGUAAUACGUAGGUGGCAAGCGUUGUCCGGAUUUAUUGGGCGUAAAGCGAGCGCAGGCGGUUUCUUAAGUCUGAUGUGAAAGCCCCCGGCUCAACCGGGGAGGGUCAUUGGAAACUGGGAGACUUGAGUGCAGAAGAGGAGAGUGGAAUUCCAUGUGUAGCGGUGAAAUGCGUAGAUAUAUGGAGGAACACCAGUGGCGAAGGCGGCUCUCUGGUCUGUAACUGACGCUGAGGCUCGAAAGCGUGGGGAGCGAACAGGAUUAGAUACCCUGGUAGUCCACGCCGUAAACGAUGAGUGCUAAGUGUUGGAGGGUUUCCGC
Molecule: ribosomal RNA, 624 nt
Filed under: uncultured bacterium
Lineage: Bacteria
Description: bacterial SSU rRNA
Rfam family: Bacterial small subunit ribosomal RNA
Source: RNAcentral